GUGUCUAGAGAGAGAACUAAAGGAAAAUUAUUAUUUGUAAAUACGAGUAAAUUGUGAGUUUGGUUAUGUCAAAUGGAAUUUUUUUUUUAUUACUCAUAACAUGAAUCAAGGAAAAGUGUAUUUAAUUUUCUCAAAAACAACAAAGAUAAAACUUGUUUACAUUCUUUUUUCCUCGGGGUUCUCUUGGCUCUAAGUCCCCCAGGAUAAAUUUCUGGACCUAGGGAACCACCUCCAAAAUCUUUCAACAUUUUUUCGGGACAUCUAGUACAUCCGGACCUAAGGUUACCAUCCAGACAAACGUUCAUCAGUAUACCAGCGUAAUGACUGCUGCGGAAGAGAUUUGGAAUAACCUCGAAGAAAUAGCCAAAGCUUCCGCUUUCUUGAACUCGCACCCCAGAGAAAAAUAAAUUUCAAGUGAGAUAAGAAACCAGGAACACAG
This is a long non-coding RNA of Tribolium madens (black flour beetle), 439 nucleotides long. RefSeq lists it as uncharacterized. Lineage: Eukaryota; Metazoa; Arthropoda; Insecta; Coleoptera; Tenebrionidae. The record is from RefSeq and is a predicted model, not a curated record. The transcript has 3 exons.